This 253-nucleotide ribosomal RNA is filed under the name uncultured bacterium. RNAcentral's name for it is "partial 16S ribosomal RNA". It matches the Rfam family "Bacterial small subunit ribosomal RNA", at positions 524 to 776 of the family's 1533-position model. The record is from RNAcentral.
UACGAAGGGGGCUAGCGUUGUUCGGAUUUACUGGGGGUAAAGCGCCCGUGGGCGGUUCGUUAGGUCGGGGGUGAAAUCCCAGAGCUCAACUCUGGAACUGCCUUUGAUACUGUCGAUCUGGAGUAUGGAAGAGGUGAGUGGAAUUCCGAGUGUAGAGGUGAAAUUCGUAGAUAUUCGGAGGAACACCAGUGGCGAAGGCGGCUCACUGGUCCAUUACUGACGCUGAGGUGCGAAAGCGUGGGGAGCAAACAGG